CAGUUUCCUGACGAGUUAUGUAAUUUGUUUUUUUAUUAGUUUCUAAAAACCCCUUCCGACAUAUCCGAUGUGACAGAAAAAAUUUUUCAUCUCCAAUCUAAACAAGGCCGUAGAUGAUUCCGGGCCAAUACGAAGCGUGAACUGCAGGUCCAUAUACAUAUAGGGCUAUCACUUAAUUAGAGAAAUUAAGCUCUGACACGUAACAAAUUAAAAAAAGUACUAAGUAAUAAUUAAUUAAUUAAAGGCGGUACGGUGAUGAAUAGUAAAAAGGAAAGCGAGGUCACAACUUAGCCUGC
Molecule: long non-coding RNA, 296 nt
Filed under: Sorghum bicolor (sorghum)
Lineage: Eukaryota; Viridiplantae; Streptophyta; Magnoliopsida; Poales; Poaceae
Description: long non-coding RNA (SBIC_LNC006257)
Source: RNAcentral